GAUGAACGCUGGCGGCGUGCCUAAUACAUGCAAGUCGAGCGAACGGACGAGAAGCUUGCUUCUCUGAUGUUAGCGGCGGACGGGUGAGUAACACGUGGAUAACCUACCUAUAAGACUGGGAUAACUUCGGGAAACCGUAGCUAAUACCGGAUAAUAUUUUGAACCGCAUGGUUCCAAAGUGAAAGACGGUCUUGCUGUCACUUAUAGAUGGAUCCGCGCUGCAUUAGCUAGUUGGUAAGGUAACGGCUUACCAAGGCAACGAUGCAUAGCCGACCUGAGAGGGUGAUCGGCCACCCGGGAACUGAGACACGGUCCAGACUCCUACGGGAGGCAGCAGUCGGGAAUCUUCCGCAAUGGGCGAAAGCCUGACGGAGCAACGCCGCGUGAGUGAUGAAGGUCUUCGGAUCGUAAAACUCUGUUAUUAGGGAAGAACAUAUGUGUAAGUAACUGUGCACAUCUUGACGGUACCUAAUCAGAAAGCCACGGCUAACUACGUG
RNAcentral lists this ribosomal RNA (497 nucleotides) under uncultured bacterium. RNAcentral describes it as "partial 16S ribosomal RNA". It matches the Rfam family "Bacterial small subunit ribosomal RNA", at positions 28 to 507 of the family's 1533-position model. The record is from RNAcentral.